This 153-nucleotide ribosomal RNA is filed under the name uncultured bacterium. RNAcentral's name for it is "partial 16S ribosomal RNA". It matches the Rfam family "Bacterial small subunit ribosomal RNA", at positions 338 to 508 of the family's 1533-position model. The record is from RNAcentral.
CCUACGGGAGGCAGCAGUGGGGAAUCUUGCGCAAUGGGCGAAAGCCUGACGCAGCAACGCCGCGUGCGGGAUGACGGCCUUCGUGGUUGUAAACCGCUUUCAGCAGGGACGAAAAUGACGGUCCUGCAGAAGAAGCCCCGGCUAACUACGUGC